This 373-nucleotide long non-coding RNA is filed under the name Ananas comosus (pineapple). RNAcentral's name for it is "long non-coding RNA (ACOM_LNC002497)". The record is from RNAcentral. Lineage: Eukaryota; Viridiplantae; Streptophyta; Magnoliopsida; Poales; Bromeliaceae.
CGGGUCACCUUUUUAGUUUUUGCAGAUUCGGUCCGCUUUUUCAGCAAACUGACCAAAAUACCCUUAUUACUUUUUCUCUUUCCUCUUUCUCUCUCCUCUUCGUUUCUGUUGUUUUUUUUUUUUUUCUCGCCGAAAAAAAAAGGGGGACCGUCACCUUCUUCUUCACCGUCGUCUCCCUUCUCACCAUCCUCUUCACCGUCGCCCCCCUCCUCACACUCCUCUCCACCGCCCGCGACUCCCUCCUCCUCUCCUCCGCCGCCGCGGACCCCCAGCCCGAUCCCGUCGCCGCGGCGGCAGCGGCCGCGGCGAACGGGGUCGGGCUGGAUGCGGAGAAGAAGACAACGGCGAAGAAGAAGAAGGGGAGGCCAAGCGA